Long non-coding RNA from Lagopus leucura (white-tailed ptarmigan), 239 nucleotides. RefSeq lists it as uncharacterized. The transcript is spliced from 3 exons. Lineage: Eukaryota; Metazoa; Chordata; Aves; Galliformes; Phasianidae. The record is from RefSeq and is a predicted model, not a curated record.
GACAGCCAGAGGAAAAAGUGGAGUGGACAAUGGACUUGGAGAUGUCAAGGCAGCCAUAUACAGUGAGGAGGAGCAUUACCUGGGAGUGGACUUCGAAAUGAUAGCCUGUCUUUUUGUUCAACUCUGUUGGAAUCCACUUGAUGGGGACAGGGCAUUCCUUUAUUCCUCUUGACAUGUUUGUAUUUGCCAUUGCCCCAUAGGAGAUGAGGAACUGCAGAUGGAUGGAAGGGCUGACCUGC